RNAcentral lists this unclassified non-coding RNA (154 nucleotides) under Pseudoophiobolus galii. RNAcentral's name for it is "partial internal transcribed spacer 2". The record is from RNAcentral. Lineage: Eukaryota; Fungi; Ascomycota; Dothideomycetes; Pleosporales; Phaeosphaeriaceae.
GUACUCUCAAGCUUUGCUUGGUGUUGGGUGUUUGUCCUUUCCUUUGCGUUUGGACUCGCCUUAAAUUCAUUGGCAGCCUAUAUAUUGGUUUGAAGCGCAGCACAUUUUGCGGUUCUGUCGAAUACUAUUAGCGUCCAUAAAGCACAAUUAACAC